This 266-nucleotide ribosomal RNA is filed under the name uncultured bacterium. RNAcentral's name for it is "partial 16S ribosomal RNA". It matches the Rfam family "Bacterial small subunit ribosomal RNA", at positions 88 to 354 of the family's 1533-position model. The record is from RNAcentral.
CCGGCGACCGGCGCACGGGUGAGUAACACGUAUGGAACCUGCCCGCAGCAGGGGGAUAAGCGGAAGAAAUUCCGUCUAAUACCGCGUAACACCGCGGAGGGGCAUCCCUCGGCGGUUAAAGAUUCAUCGGCUGCGGAUGGCCAUGCGGCGCAUUAGCUAGUCGGCGGGGUAACGGCCCACCGAGGCGACGAUGCGUAGGGGUUCUGAGAGGAAGGUCCCCCACACUGGUACUGAGACACGGACCAGACUCCUACGGGAGGCAGCAG